RNAcentral lists this unclassified non-coding RNA (410 nucleotides) under Hevea brasiliensis (rubber tree). The record is from RNAcentral. Lineage: Eukaryota; Viridiplantae; Streptophyta; Magnoliopsida; Malpighiales; Euphorbiaceae.
GAAAAUUUUGCUGUGCUGAGUUCAAUGGUGAUUUCGGAUCACCAAUGCGACUGUCGAAAUCUGAUCGAAAAGCUCUAAAUCUACCGAUUUUCUCUCUCCUUGGUUCUUUCUCCUCCGACCACCAUUUCAGGCGAGGUUGGUCAGAAAAGAAAGCUAGUGGUGAGGGAAAGCCGUUGCCACUGGAAUCACGUCCAUCUAAUGCCGAAUGGCAUCGGAAUGAGCACCUGAAGUUGGCUGUUAUGCGCACGUCUCUCUCUCUUUCUUUCUCUCCUUUCAAUUUUCUUUUUGCUGCUGCUGCAUCGUUGAUCGCCUUCCACAGCUGCUGGAAGGUUGCCAAUUGCCAUGUGUAUGGUCUAGGUGGCUUGCCGACAGUGAUGAUAGUCGGCCAGAGCAAAAACGGUGAGGGGGGA